Molecule: non-coding RNA, 80 nt
Organism: Hymenopellis radicata
Lineage: Eukaryota; Fungi; Basidiomycota; Agaricomycetes; Agaricales; Physalacriaceae
Source: the annotation of a GenBank genome assembly
GGGCGCUUAGCACAGUGGUAGCGCGCACGCUUUGCAAUUUCGGCUGCGUGAGGUCGUGGGUUCAAGCCCCACAGUGUCCA